This is a long non-coding RNA of Megachile rotundata (alfalfa leafcutting bee), 5995 nucleotides long. Lineage: Eukaryota; Metazoa; Arthropoda; Insecta; Hymenoptera; Megachilidae. The record is from RefSeq and is a predicted model, not a curated record.
UUUCCGACAUUCUGUGUAUAGCAAUCGAAAGUGUACUGAUAUGAUCGCCAAAUGUUCCGCUUUUUUCGAAGAAAUUUGAUUUUUCAACAAGACGGGGCAUCACCCAACUACAUAUAGUCGCGAAGUAAGGUAGUGCAAAGUAAGGUUUAUAAAGUAAGGUGACAGAAUACCUCGCCCGCCACUAUCUUCCGAUGUUUAAUCACUGGAUUUUAUUUUUGGGGUUACGUUAAGUCUAUUGUGUAUAGGCAUGACGUAAUAAGUCCCGAACAAUUACAACAGAAAGUUAUUAUGGUGUUUGAUGAACCCGUUUAUUGGAAGUUUUUAACAAGAAUACAAUUAUAUAUGAAACAACAUGGAAAUCACUACCAGCAAUUUAUGUACUGAGCGAAAUGACUCCUGAAUAUUGUGGCAUUGACUUUCAAUAUAUUCCAUGCAUACAAACAUUGUAUAUGCUUAUAAGAGGGAAUUAAUAUACUUCAUAGCAAAGUUCGUCAAGCUGAAUGUAGACCACUACACGUAUACUACAUUAUACUACACGUAUAAUGCACGUAUACUACAUAAAUUUUCAAACCUAUUUUUCUCGAAAACACAGCUUCAUAUGAAAAAAUUUUAUUCUACAUUUCCGACUUAUAUUUUUAAGUAGAAUCAUCAUUUUCCGGUUGUACCACCAGUUACUGGACAUUCUGUAGUUAUACAAUGGUCUUUUCAAAUUAGAAAUAAAGUUAUACAUCUUUCUUGGUAUUCGUUAACACGAAAUUAUUCUAACAUUCUUCAAAUUUCAAAAUUAGAAAGAAUUCUUUAAUUUUAUUGAAACGUUAUUUUCUUUGAAAAUUGUUCAUUAGACGAGAAAAAAAGCAACGUGAUUGCGAAACUGUCCUACCAAUUGCAUGAAUAUUUUCCUCUGGGCUAAAAUUCACAUAUAUAAAAGUUUUAAUUUUAAAGAAGCAUUCUCAUACAUUCAGUCUAGGCGCGUAACAGCAAAAACAUUACAUAAUCAUAUACACACACAUACAUACAUGAAAAACUGUGUUUCUUCUUGCAGAAUAAAUAUGACGAAUAUUUGAUUUAUCGAAUGUAAAAAUAAAUAAACAUAUAGUGGGUUUUCAUAUGCAAAGAGAAAUGUUUCAUAUUCAAAGAAAAAUUUUUCAGUGCAGAAAAAUUAUUAGUAAUUUACAUGCAUAAGUUUGGAAAAAAUUUCAUGGAUUGUAAACAAAUUACAAUCUACUGUAUAAAGUAUGCAAUAAGUGUGGACUACAAAAAAGACUGCAAAAUAAUUCAAGAAUUGGACGUUCACAGAAAAUUAAUCAAUAAACUAGUCGAUUUGUUAUUAAAAUUAUAAAGCAAACUCCAGGAGUAAAUGCGAUAAACGCAGUAAAGUACGUUACAAAUAAUUCAAAUCGUAAUGUACCUGUUAGUACGUAGUACAUAGUUUUAUACAAAGUCAAUGUUGUGACGGUUGGAUAGUCGGAAGAAAAUAUUUAAUGAAAGCAACUUUAACAUUUUCGAGUCUGAUGGACACUGCACUAUUUGGAGAAAAACAAAGGUAGAACUAAUACUAGAGAACUUACGACCUACAGUGAAACACGGUGCAGGUUCCGUAAUUGUUUUGGGGGUGCAUGAGUACAGCUGGUGUUGGCACAUUAUACUUUGUCAACGAAAUAAUGAACCACAAGGUUUACAUUGACAUCUUAAAACGCAGUGUUUUUCCUAGUGCAGGAAAAAUGAAUAUUAAAUAUAAUUCCGUUUCCGUGAACGAUAAUGAUCCAAAAUAUACUGCAUACAAUGCCAAAAUGUGGAUACUCUAUAAUACACCCCUAUAUGUAAAAACUCCUCUGCAGUUUCCUGAUAAUAAUCUCACAGAACAUUUUAUUUGAAACUUCAAAUUAGAAAAUAUGAGAUUUUCCAAAAGUUGACUUAUAAAAUGCUCUCAUGGAGGAAUGGAACAAGCUUCUAACACAUAUAUUAUCGAAUGUAGUUAAUUCAAAGUCUAAAAAAAUUGCAACAAGAAUUGUCAAUAUGAUAUCGUAAAAAAUCUUAAUUAACGGUUUAUAUUAGAUUUUUGAUAUAAAAAUAAUUUAAAUUGUGUUUUUCAUAUGAAUUUUUAAAAAUGUAAGAACUGUGUGAAUACUUACUACUUGUUUAUUUCAUACAUAAAAUGAGCAUUCGCAUCACGCACUAAAUAUUCAGUCUAUGCAGCAAUACAUGAAUCAAACAUUCUCAAGGUAUGCUGCGAAUGAUUUUUUAUCAAUUAAUUUUAUAUGUUUUCUCAUUUAGGUUCCCCAUCACGAAAUAAGUUCAAAUUUUAGAAAAAGUUUCUUUUGUUUCCAGGAAUGUUAAAGUUUACUUUUGGAAUUUCCUUUACUUUUGGAAUUAAUUUUUUCCAUGUUAAUCAUCAAUUUUCUGUGAAACUUAAAUCUAAGCUACUGUUUGGUAAUGUUAUUCUUUUGAUCUCAUUAUUCUUGCAAAUAAUACUUUUUGUACUUUAGGAAUCAAGAAAUAUUUUGAAACAUAUGUAUACACUUUGAAAUUUACAUUUCUGUACAACGUGCAUAAUUUCCUGUGACAGCUGCUAUCUUCUGCUUAUAUUGAGCGAGGAUGUUCAAAUUUUCUAUGAUUCACUACACUUUUCGUCUUAUUAAACCUCUUAUUUAUUUAACUGGUCUAUUCUAAUCCGACUAUAAUUCCACAUUCCUGUGUAACUCUUGUUUAAAUAUUGCAUAAAGAUUUUUGUCUGACACGCUUCAUGAUAUAAUUAGCAGUUUAAAAGAUAAUCUAAAGGGGAAAUGACUUGAUAUGCAUUUUCAAUUAAUUACUUUAAUAUUUAAAAGUUUCACGUCACGUUUUUCCGUUAACCGAUAAACUUAGAAUUUUCCACAGAUCACUUUUUGUAUUAAGUACAAUUAUUGUAGAGAGUAUCGAAAAACAAUUCAAAAGUCAAAUAACAACAAUAAAAUCGAAAUUAAAAUUAAAUAGCAGCAUAGAGUAACACAAAAUGGAACUAUGAUUAAGAUUAAAAUUCAAAUAGUACUACGAUAUACAGUGUUUAUAAAUGAACAGAAAUCUCGUCAAAAAUGACUUCGAGAAUAAUUUCUUCGUGGUCAUAACAAUUGUCCCUUCGAAGAAAAUAAUGUUUAUCUCUGACAUUUUUCUCUAUUAUAAAAAAUAAGCUAGGCAUUCAAGAUGCACAAGUUAGAUGGAACACCUUAUAGGUAAAUAAGACUAUUUAGGCGUGUAUAUAUGCAACGAAUUUCCACAUUUUAUUAUUUCUUGGAGAUUUUAUAAUUAAAAUUGCAGAAUAUAACUGCAAUUAAGAUUUUAGCACUGAAAUAAAAUAAUAAUAGGAACAAGAGAGGUAUUUCGUUCUUGUACUUCCAGAGUUGAAAAGAGUAAUGGGACCAACGACUGCUCUAUGCAAUCAAAGGACAAAGAGUGCGCACAUUCCUAUCCUUUCACACGCUUCUCUGUCUGAAUACUGUCCCCGGACAAUAUGAUAUCGUCUCUCUUCUGUCAGACCAACGAACGUGAAAAUUUUCACUUUCGAAGAUAAAGAUACAGGUAUUCUGGAAAAUAGGAAUACUUAUUCGGAGGUUAGGAGAGCGUACAGGAAUAACGGAGUUACAAAUUUUCUUUCUUUCGCAGCUAUAUAAUGCGGUUCUUUAACUCUCUCUCUCUCUCUCAUCAACCAGGCGUCCAGGAAUAACUCUGUUCUCUCCCGUUCGAAUGGCGUCCAGGUAUUCUCUCUGAACUCUCCAUUCCGAACGGGCGACCAGUAGUUUUCUCCCGUACUCUUCUGUACUUUACCUGGGGCGUCCAGGAGAUGCUCUGACCUCUCUCAGUCGACAGGCGUCCAGGAAUAUUCGCCGAACUCUCCAUGUCGACCGAGUGUCCAGGAACAAACUCCCGUACUCUCCCCCUAUUCACCAGGCAGGCGUCCAGGAGGGUUUCGCCGUACUCUCCUGCCUGGGUAUCAAUCGUUAUCUGCAGGUGCGCGUCCAGGAAUUGUCGCCGAACUCUACCACCGGAGUCUCUUAACCUUUACGCUGUUACGUCGCGCUCUAUUCUGCGUUUCUUUAACCUUAAAGUGUUGACGCACACCUUAACCCUAGCCUGUUUCCGAUUUCUAGCCUAAUCAGGGGAAUUCGAUGGAGGCUAUUUCCGAACUGACUAAGCCUUUUGUUGGUUAUACUGGAUUUUAUUGUAUAUGUUCCUUACUUACAAUGAUGAUCUCUCUCUCUCACAUGCACUUACACUCGUGACUGAUGGUGGCUCGGUUUCGGGUACUACUUCGCCCCUCUAGACGCCGAUGAUAAUCUUAUCUUUCGCGGUGGACCUACGCGAUAGCGCACGCACUCCCAGAAUUAACUGUUUACGGGUCUUGUAUUAUCAGACCCGGAGAUACGAUACGCGAAUGACCGCUGGCCGAGUGCGAAAGAAGCCUCGAAGUGUAAAGUCACGAAAAAUCCUCUCACUCGCACUUGUCGGCGGUUUUUAUACCCGAAAGUGUGCCAAAUCGAGUUCUCAUUUGUCACUCAUGCACAUUUUGGAGUUACGCGAUCGCUUUCGCAGAAUACUGCGUUAAUGCAUUCCUGCGAGUCAAUUCGGUCGCGACCCGAAUACCGACGGAAAAGGAAUAUUCCUCGGAUGUAACAACCCCACUGACAUAAGAUAAAUAAUAUUUAUUAAUAGUUGGACUUUAUAGAACGUUUAAUGCAAUAAGGAAUUGUGUCGCAUGGACAAUAUGUACUAUAUCAAAGAAGAACUUAACAAGAAAAGAUAAUACUUCUUACAAUUACCACAUAACUUUGAUAUUAUAAAAGUUACAGUAUCUUACUGGCGAGCAUAUGCAGCGUACCCACAUCAAGAAUAGGUUUUUUUUCACAUUUUAUAGGUACAUUCAUUACAUUUAUUUACUAUGAAAUUCAUCGUUGGAGUUAAUAUCACAUAUUAAUAUCACAUUAUUAUAUAGUACUGUUUCACAAUACGGUUGGGAAUUCUAUUUUCGCUUCUUUUAUUACACAGUAACAUUAACAUUAACAUUUCGAUCGCCAGCUAUUUAAAAAUCGGACGUUACAAUUUGGUUUUCGAAUUUUGAGCUCUGCACUUUAAUGAUUGCAAGGAUUAAUUUAUAAUGCAUAUUUUCUUUUUAAAACCUAACGCCAUAUGAAACUAUUAAAUAAAAAGGUUAUUUUCAAUUUGAAUAGAUAUUACUUUGAUCUUUCUUUAAGAAUAUCGCGUAGUUGCUAGUUCUCCUGCGAGAAAAUACCUUGGAGUGGAAAGAGUUAAUUGCUUUUCUUUUGAAAACAAACCUUCAAAUUGUAAAAUUAUAAAGGAACUUUCGAUUUGUUUUCACAUGGCGAAUCUAUAGCUUCCGAGUUCGGAAAACUGCAGAUUUUUCGGAACGUUCUACAUACCGUUAAAUCACUCACUGAAUUGAUCACUUUUUGCUAGUAAUAUUUGAUAUUUCUUCUCUAAUAAUUAUAAAUCUGUACUUUCAUAAACUUCUGAUUUAUCAUAAUAUCCUUUAGUUGAACACAUUUAACAGAGAUAUUCGCUCGCAAACCGUCGAAGAGACAAGACGUGUAGUGAGCCCCGAAUACAAACAAAGUGCACGGAGAUCCAAAUUACUUGUGUGAAUUGUGAUUAGUGUAUAAGUGUCAGUGUGUGAACCGUAAGUAUCGCUUACAUAAUAAAACAACCACUCAUAACCACAGUGGUCAACACUAGCGAUGUCACAAGCCAGUGGAGGACCAGCCUUCUCACCCAUAUAUACUAUUACCACUGCCGAUGUCAUUACAACCACUACGACCUCAACAUCUUAUCGAAAUAGACAGCAUACACAACAAGCUAUACCUAUUAUGUCGACACGAGUCACACAUACCAACUCAUCUCAUCUAGACACGACCAUUUUCGAAACACUCAAUACAAACAGAACACGUAAACGGAUAAUUCCAGGAGACCCGUCAAUACUAGCUGAUAUAAUACAAACCGAUAUGGA